AUUGUAACUACUUAUCAAAUUAUGAAUCACUAAUUAUGUAAAAUAGAAAAUAUAUAUAGGCCUAAUAAAUGACAACAUUACUGUUAUACAACACCGAUUGAUGAUCGAGGUAGGCCUACUGGAGCAUAUGAUUACAAUUUAGUAAAUUAACAAUUAACGCAAAUGAAAUUGUAGGCCUACAAACCUCUCACAAACCAACAAUUUCAGAAGAAGAAUAAAGGCAGCAAUUAUUUUGCAAUAAUAUAUUUAUAUCAAGGAGGAGGAGGAGGCCAAAAUGCUUAUAUGAUGUGUUUCAAAAUGUUUGCAAACUUAAUAAUAUAUUUGAUACCUUAACUAUGAAUGUGGUCCACUUUAGCAGUCAAAAUGUAAUGAGUGUGUGAUAGUUGAUAAUGAAUUAUAGAAUUAAUAAGGACUAGGCAUAAAGCUAUAGUCAAAAAAAAAAAAUGCCAACCGACCGAUUUUAAUUUAACAAUUUUAAAAUUAUAAAAAAUGUUCACAAAUAGGAACAGUUCCAUUAAUGCCCAUUCCUUUUUUACACUGGAAUUGUUAAUAAGAAUGAUCAGCAUGACCUUAUUUUAUUGUAUACAAUGCGUUAACCGCAGUCUAGUCAUAAUUCGCUGGAUUUGGAGUCGCGUACAGUAUUAGUUAAAUCAUAGACAUGGUCACCUUAUAUGCAGAAUCAUACUUUUAUAAUCACAUAUCAAAUUGAUCUUCAUAUCAUAGUAAACUCAGCCCUCUCUUAUACAUAUCUAAAUGAUAAUCAGGGGAGGAUUUAGAGAGGCCGGGCCAGCCUUGGCCUCCCUACUCCACCCCCCCCCCUUUUUUUUUGGAAGGGUAAAAAAGAAUAAAAAGAAAAAAAAAAGAAAAUUUCUACAACACAAACAUUUCGCGGAGGCAUGCCCCCGGCCCCACUUUCGGCCCCCGCCUUUUGGACACCUCUGAAUCCGCCCCUGAUAAUAAUAACUAAAAUGAAUUAGACUGAUUAACGAUAAUAUUUGCCUGUGAUAUUAUAUUUGAUUAAUUGAUUUAUGCAAUUAAUAUAAUCUCUGUAAUAUUGAGUUGUUUAUAAAAUUUUAUAUACUUAUUCAUAAAUAGCUAGUCAUAUUUUAUACUCAUUGUGUCAUCCUAAUCCAACAAGCACAGGCAUUUUCUACCCCAAAUAUAUAUACAUAGGUCCCUACGUAUAUAUAUAUGUAUAUUAUACGCAUUACAGUCUUACCAUACAUCAUUAUCUACGAAACACUUAUUUAGCCGGCAAUUCAAUAACAGUAACACAACCUUAAACAGCGUUUGAGUAAAUUUAAUACAUUUUCGACAAUAACUAGCCUAUAGUAUCUUGAAUGUUAAGUGGCAGGAUGAGGUGAAUGAGUUAUCAGUUACACAUAAUCACAGAUACUGUAUCAGUUAUCGAAAUACUCGAAAUAAAAAAAAAGGGUAUCCUGAUUAUUCACCGUCAAGCACACUUGUUCUGCUGCAACUUCACGAAAAUGUUGUAGAAGAUCUUCAGAUUAUUGAUCAAUCAACGAACUUCAAUUCAACACAUAAAGUUUGAUGCUGGGCUAUUUAGAUUCAAGAGAUUGAUCGGGUCAGUUUUGUCUCGCUUCAAUACUGAAUAUGAUUUGGAGGAGCUGCUGAAAUUCGGAGAAGGCCGACAUUUUGUGUCAGCUUCUCGGACUUACGAGCAAUCAGUGGAGAAAACAAAAGCCAACAUAAAAUGGAUGAAAGCCAACGCGGUUGCUGUGAAAGAAUGGCAAGAAAACGUGAAUUGUCUCGAUAGGGAGUGGAUUUGUUUAAGUCGGAGGAAAGAUUGUGAUGUCACAUGAAUUGAACCCAUGACCCUGGGAUUGGAAGGCAGUGAUCUUAACCACUAAGCUAUUCAACUAAAAAUUUGAAAAUUUCUAUAUAAUAAAUCCCAGAUUUAACCUAAAAGGGGGUUACUGAUAAGAAAUAUAAAUAUAGGCCUACCUGAUUAAUAUAAAACCUUUAUACGUUGCCGUUAACUGUUAUCGCUAGUGUUCUGUUUUAUGUUUAAUUAUUGUACACUAGGUUCUUUAAUGGCUUCAGAACCAAGUCGUGUUAAUAGUAGUUCAUACAUUUAUUUUAUCCUCAUAUGUGAUAAUAAAUUAUGAAUCGGUGAAUAUUGAAACUUUGUGAUAUAUGUCUAUAUUUGAAGAUUUAUAUCAUCAGAGAAGUUAGGCCUCCAUUUUGACUUACGAUGUUACUUAGAUGAUGGUUGUGUUUAAAUAAAUAUUUACCAAAGCACGGUU
RNAcentral lists this unclassified non-coding RNA (2267 nucleotides) under Anneissia japonica. Its description in RNAcentral is "aminopeptidase N-like, transcript variant X1". Lineage: Eukaryota; Metazoa; Echinodermata; Crinoidea; Comatulida; Comatulidae. The record is from RNAcentral.